Molecule: transfer RNA, 77 nt
Filed under: Halomonas sp. NCCP-2165
Lineage: Bacteria; Pseudomonadati; Pseudomonadota; Gammaproteobacteria; Oceanospirillales; Halomonadaceae
Description: tRNA-Ser
Source: RNAcentral
CAUGGCCACGGCUCGAUUGGCGCAUGCCUGCUUGAAUCAGGCGGCGCUCAACCGAGUGCAUUGCCUGGGGCCAUACC